RNAcentral lists this unclassified non-coding RNA (3502 nucleotides) under Hevea brasiliensis (rubber tree). Lineage: Eukaryota; Viridiplantae; Streptophyta; Magnoliopsida; Malpighiales; Euphorbiaceae. The record is from RNAcentral.
GGACAAAAAAAAAAAAAAUUCACAUAUCCUCCAAAAGAACGGAAUCCCGAGACGAGAAUUCAUACAUAUAUUAUAAAGAAAUGAAAUGAAGUGACAAUCCUACUCUGAGACACCAAAAUCACACAAAUGAACCAAUCAUUCAUGUCAAAGAGCACCUUAGUAUCAGUGGGACUGUAAGUAAGAAGAUAAUAUAGCGAAACUGAGAGUGGAGAGUAUAAGGGAGAUGAGAGUAAAGCAUUUAGUGAUUAGUUGCAGUAGUAAUGCAAAUGGAGAUAGAAGGGACUGAAAACGAGGUUGAAGAAGACGAACGAGGAGAAAGAGGAGGAGGAGGGACCAGUAGAGAGAUUUUACCAAAGUUUUAGGGUUUUGGGUUUUAUUUUUUACCAGAUUUUAACACAUGGAUCUAUUGAGGGCUUUUGCUUUUAUUUUUUCUUCGAAAUAUCUAUUGUGGCUCCUCUCUCCCUCUAGUUUCAGUCAACUGCCAUCAGGGAUACGGUGUCGUUCUUAAGGACCAACACUGAGUUUUUCUGAGAACCCAGCUGCGCCCAACCAAAGCCUCACCAGGGCGAGAAAUAGGUCUGGAGUCAGGGCUUGUCUCUCUGUGCUAAUGUCCUAUAUAUUUGUUGUUCUUUUGCUUAUUGUGAAGAGAGCUUCCAAACAAGGAUGUUGGAUAACGAUUGCCCGCUCUUAACCCCACCUCGAAAACGAUCAUCUCUGAAAACCCAAUCGCAUUUAAACACCUUCCCUACCCUCUUUGGAAACACAAGGUUCGUCUGAAUUUAUCAUUUUCUUUUUCUUGUUUCCAAAUUUUUUUUUAUCUUGCAUUCAAUGGGGGGGGGGGACAUGUUUGUUCAAUUGCCUUUGGAAUGGUGAAGUGUAGUUGAGGGAGAGCUGUUACAGAAGGGUGCGCAAGGACAGCAAUCGCUUGCUUUGGAAAUGAGGUUGCCCCGCUGCUAAAUCCCUCGGUAACAAGGUUUUCUUUCUUAAUUACAUAUUUUAUUGUACCUUCUUUGGAAUAAUAUUCUGUAUUCACUUGUUUUCUUGUUUAUCUUUAUUGGGUCUUCCAAGGUUUAUCUAUUCUUUGGACUGAUUGGGUCUUAGGUAUUGGAUUUUCAUGUAUGGAAUGCUUUGUGAUUUUGGCAUUAAAACGUUGAGAUAUUUGACCCUUAGUUAGCUGCUAUGAAUGUGCAUUAUAAUUAGGUUAGAAUAUGUACUUUCCUAUUUUAAUUUUCUUUCUAUUUUGCAACCUUCCUAUUUGUAUAAAUUCUGGUCAAGUUUGAGGGAAUAAUAAAGCUUUAAGGUUUUAUCUUCUUCAUCAUCUCUCUUUCUUCUUCCUUUCUAAUCUAUUUCAUGGUAUCACAGCUAAAAAAAGGCAUUAUUUCCUUUUAUUUCUCUGUUCCUAUUAAAAAAAAGCACUGCCAUCUUUAGUUUACUCGUUCUUAGAAGGAGGUAGAUGACACCACCAGUCUAGGAAGGUUCUGUAGCUGUCACCCCUCAGAAUUCUAGCACCAGAUUCUUCUCCAUAUCCCCACUAGCCGACACAGUGUGUCCAGCAUCGUUACAUGUGACAACCCCGUCAGACUUUCUGGGUUCCGUUAGACGUUUCAAUUGUCAAAUAGCCAGCUGCACCCACCUCUUCUGAUUUCCAGCCCUUCACCAGCCAAGAUGGCAAUUUGAUGAAGUUUGUAAGAGAGAUUCAUACCAUGUUUUUGGGCUGAAGGCUUGAUGCUACUUUUGUUAAGGAGGAUUCCACAGAGCCGACUUAUGAACCCGCCAGGAGUUCCAGAAAGAAUCCUUCAACAUCUACUGCUCUUGUCCCCUAAGUAUCUCUGCCACUUUUGCAGAUUUUCUUUACUAUAGAAAAUUGUUAACUCGGUCUCUGUCCUUUUUCAUGUUCCAAUGAUGCCCCUCUUUCCACAUUCUGCUUUCAUAGUACCAAAGCUUUUUAGGUUCGAUUGUCUACUAACCAGAUUGGAUCUCUCGUUCCUAUCUACCUCAUUGAUCAUCUCUUCAUUUUCAAACCCUGUACCCAAUCCAGUCAAGGCUCAGAUUGCUCAAGAGGACAUCCGACAGCUUUUUGCUUUGUCCUUAGACCGGCUAACUGUCAAUAACAUUACUCAUGCUAAUAGCUCAAUUGCCCUUCUGUUUUGAACCCCCUUAUCUGACAAUGAUCGGGCUCAUUUAAGAACUCUCCAGACAUACUUAACACAUCUCUUCACGAGCUAUCAACUAGUCACUUCUGAGGACACUUCCUUAGAACUGCAACUGAAAUAGUUCCAGGACUACAAGAUAAAAAGUGAGUAGGUAGAAGCUACCAUCAUUGCUCAUAGUGACACAGUCGCCCUGCUCAAAGCCAAUCUCCAAACCAAAGAGCAGAAGAUGGAAGAGCUCAUUGCAGAAUUGAAGAGAGAAUUUGUCAAAGCAAGUGACAACAUGGCUAGAUUGGUUAACAUCUCUAGGCUUCGGACAGAGAAAGAGGCUUGCCUUUAGGGCUUAGCGUAAUCCUUGAGCACCAACUGUCAGCAAUCCAGGGAGUGGCUUGCUUGGAGGUAGCAUCUAGCCAAACAGAAAAGAGAGCAUAAUGAGCUUUGGGAUCGCCGCUGGACUCCUUCGAGUCUCAACUUUCUGUGAUUGAGUUGUACCCCAGUAGUUUGAGGUUAUUUUUUAUGCACUCAUAGUUAUUCCUCCAUCUCCAUUGCACAUUUGUACAACCGUGUGAUCGACUUUUGUAUUGAUUUGAUUUUGAUGAUGUAUAGGCUGAGCCCUGAUUUUUAGCUGUGAACUGAUGAGUAGGGUUAAGUCCUCUACUUGUGAUUGUUAUUUGAUGACCAAGGUUGAGCCUUUUGAUAUGCCAUUGCCACCCACUGUACUCUAUAUGAACUAUUUUGAGCAGAUAAAGCCCUUCUGCUUGCUUUGUUUAACUUAUCUGGCCAUGAUAGGAACAGUAGAACAACUUCUCUGAAAACUGUUUGUCCAUUAUACUAUUGCUUUAAUUUUGAUGAUACCACAGCUCAGUGGCCUUAAGGCCAGUCCCAUGUGGGUCAACUCAAUGGCCUUGCACCACUUCUUCUUGAACUUUAGAUUGUGCCACUUUUAAGAUACUAGGAUAGGACCUUUUAAGAUGGUGUACAUUGAUGCACUUUUAUGGAGAACUCCAUCUAGAUUAAAUAAUUGGUAUGCAUUAUGUCUCAAGAUUGCAUGCACCUUGGAUGGCCCUUCCAAUUGGGUGAUCAUUUUUCCAAUUCUCUGUCUUUUGUCCUUGGACGCAAGAUGACCUUCCCCACCAACUCGCUUUCCACAAAACUUUUCUUCUUCACCCUUUUGUUGUAUGCUCGCGCCACCUUCUUCUGAGUCGCCAUUCUUUUAAAGGUAUCCAUCCUUUCGUCGUCCAAAUCCUCAAGCUCCAUUGCCAUAGCCUCAAUAUAUUCAUUUGGAGUCAAACCAUGCUGUCGGGCCCUGGAGAUGCAAUAGUAAGUGGUGUUGGGAAUGAUGAACUGGUACC